AGGAGACGUAGGGUUUGAGACUUCGCGUCUCGUUACAAGUAUAAACGUGCCACACUGGCCACAUGAAUGAGAAAUAAGAGUGUGAGAUGCGUACUUAUGAGACUUAAACUGUUACCUUGCUUAAUAAAGAGUGAACAUGGCAUCUGGUGAUAUCGGAAGGAUCAAUUUAGACUCACUUGAACUAAGCCUUAUAGAUUCUGGCAUUCAGAGCAUGAAAGAUGUGCCACUCUCACCACACUUACAGUCUUUGAAUCUGCACAGCAACUACAUACAGCACAUUCAAGGACUGGAGCUGAUGCACAAUUUGAAGCAUCUGGACAUUUCUGCUAAUCAGAUUGACAAUAUCAGUGGCCUUGAAAGCCUCAUUUCACUGAAAACUCUUAAUUUAUCCUGUAACUUGAUAACUGUUGUGCAGGGAUUGUCAGCCUUAAGGUCUUUGGUUAAGCUGAAUCUGAGUUACAACCAGAUUGAAGAUAUAUCAGGGCUUCGAUCCCUUGCAGGUAGUGACUAUAAAUUAUCCCAGCUAGAGCUACACGGCAACCGUUUACGGAGUCUGACACACGUACAACACAGCUUAAGGCUAUGCAGCAAUCUUCGACACCUAAUUCUUAGCCAGGAUGGGUCAUCAAACCCUGUUUGCCACCAAGAAGGAUACCAGACAGAUCUAUUUACUGCAUUCCCUCAGCUUGAAACUCUAAAUGGUAUUGAUAGGCAAGGGCGUCGAACUCUACCUCCAGAGAUAGGAUCGAAUGUUCCAGAGCUAGAGGCAUACCUCGAUUUUCUUCUGUCAGGGGGAAGCACAAAUACCAGCACAGCAUCUGAAGGAACAAGGAGCACUGUGAAGACACCGAGAAUUGAUGAAGUCUUGGCCAAGUUCCGGCUUCAAGGCGCCACCUCGGCAGGACCCAGCAUCAGCAGCGCCGCCACGUCCGGCACCGAAGCUGAGAGUAGCCCGAGGUCAGCGGGUGCAACGCCCGGAAAACCGCAGGCAGCCAGCAGAAUGACGCAGGCAAGAUUUACGACCUUUGUCGCCGAUCAGUACGACCGCCUGUCGGAGCUUGAAGAAGAAGUGAAGAGGCUACAGCUCGCGCAGCACAAGGUAGGUCCUAGCGGCAGGACACCGCGGACCAACUCCUCAGCCUCCUCUAGUCGUCGAGAUGAUACAGAAGAGGAAGUGGAGCCUGUCAGAGAGAGGAACACAGCAGGAGACAAUGUUGCCAAGUCUCAGCAGAAACCCAACCUCGGCCAGGCGCAGCGAAAGCAGACACCCACCCCUGCAGUGACCCCCACUACGCUGAUAAAGGCUCAGACCAAGAGGGGAUCUGCCAGGAAACAAAGGUCAGUGCGUGAGCCGGGGAAAGCCGAUGGGAGACGGGAGCACGUGUCCAGUUCGUCACCCAACGUCACAAGAUGGCAGCGCCAGGGCUCGGGAAGACGAGAAACAGCGAGAAGACCUGCAAGCUACCUAUGUGCAACUGCUGAAGGAGCUGGAGACGGAGCGCGAGAGGCGGUGGAAAGCGGAGCACGCGGCCCGCCGGCUGGCCGACCAUAUCAAGGACGUGCAGGCCAAGCAGAACGAAGAGAACGAGCUGAAGAUCACAGCAGUAGCUGCAACAGGCAGACUGAAGGAGGUUCUGGUGAACGAGCGAGAUGCGAAAGUUCGACUUCAGGACCAGGUUACCGCCCUGCAGACGCAGGUAGCGGAGCUACAGGAGCAGCUGAGCAGAGCCCGCCAGGCGGAGGAUGCCAACAGGGCCGCGGUCCGCUCCUUGGAGGAGACGCUAGCCGGCCAGGAACGACAACGUCUGCAACAGCAGGCCCACGAGGCCAAGAAAAUUCAGGAAAGUGAGCUGCGCGCAGCAGCGCUGGCCAGGGAGCUGGAGAUCACACGGGGCAACAGCAAGGCUCAGAAAGGACAAAUACAGCAGCUACAGGAGCUACUAGCCACUCGAGAACAGCAACACAAGCAAGAGAUGGCAGAACGCUACCGACUGGACAGCAAAGAGCUGCGAGAGGUUCUUCAGAAGGAAGUUCAGCUUGUGGAGAAGAAACAUCGACAGGAGAUGACUUCUUGCCAGGAAAA
Molecule: unclassified non-coding RNA, 2083 nt
Filed under: Pomacea canaliculata
Lineage: Eukaryota; Metazoa; Mollusca; Gastropoda; Architaenioglossa; Ampullariidae
Description: leucine-rich repeat and coiled-coil domain- containing protein 1-like, transcript variant X2
Source: RNAcentral